UACAGAGGGGGCAAGCGUUGUUCGGAAUUACUGGGCGUAAAGGGCGCGUAGGCGGCCCGCUAAGUCGAACGUGAAAUCCCCAGGCUCAACCUGGGAACUGCGUCCGAUACUGGCAGGCUUGAAUCCGGGAGAGGGAUGUGGAAUUCCAGGUGUAGCGGUGAAAUGCGUAGAUAUCUGGAGGAAUACCGGUGGCGAAGGCGGCAUCCUGGACCGGCAUUGACGCUGAGGAGCGAAAGCCAGGGGAGCAAACGGG
This 253-nucleotide ribosomal RNA is filed under the name uncultured bacterium. RNAcentral's name for it is "partial 16S ribosomal RNA". It matches the Rfam family "Bacterial small subunit ribosomal RNA", at positions 524 to 776 of the family's 1533-position model. The record is from RNAcentral.